GGAGGGAUGGCAGAGUGGUCAAAUGCGUCCGGUUGGAAGCCGGAAGUCGCACCAGCGGCGCGGGGGUUCGAGUCCCUCUCCCUCCGCCA
RNAcentral lists this transfer RNA (89 nucleotides) under Chloroflexota bacterium. Its description in RNAcentral is "tRNA-Ser". It matches the Rfam family "tRNA". From Rfam's summary of the family: Transfer RNA (tRNA) molecules are approximately 80 nucleotides in length. Their secondary structure includes four short double-helical elements and three loops (D, anti-codon, and T loops). Lineage: Bacteria; Bacillati; Chloroflexota. The record is from RNAcentral.